UCUUCCUUGUCACCCUUACUUAUUUCUAUUAUUUACAAUAAAACUAAUUAUAUUUUUCCAAUAACAUCUGUUUAGUAAAAUAAACAGAAGUACAAUGAAAGAUUCUUUUUCUUUUGUUCAAGGCCCGUUUGAUAAAAUGAUGCUUCGCAGACUGAAUCUGGGCACAUACCGCGGCAAAACUGGUGCGCUACUGAGCUCUGCAGAAGCAUGAGCACACAGCGGUCUAUGAGAAUGGCAGCCCUGACGUCGUGCAGUGGCCACAUGGAAACAUCUGUCACAUCCAAGGUAGUUUCCACCAGCUUCUCCUCCCACACACUUCAGGACUCCCUCCCCUGUCCUCACAACAGACAAGCAAAAAUGAAAGAAAAUUAAUACCGUGAUGCUGCUGGUCUGCAUGAAAUCACCAUGAUUAUCCUUUUCUAAUCAGAUGGGAGUAAUUUUCUUGCUCUUCACCUGACUAAUUUUUUCCACUCUUUCCUCCCUCCCAUCAGGUAUCAAGCUGCUAAAUGUUUACAGAUUAAUUUGCAUGAAAUAGUCCCAUAGAAACAAUCACUCACUGGAUCAAGUUCCUCUGCUGUUUGAAAUGCAUGCUUUUUUUUCAAGCGAUACAUCAGUUUUAAAUAAAGAUUUACAGCUGAAAAUAAAAUUAAACCAUUUUGUGAAAACGUGAUGAUUACAGUGAUAAAAGUAUUUUCAAAACUCUCAGAUACUGGGGUUGAUUACUGCAAAUACAAUUGCAGCCUGCCGUCACAACAGAGCAUCCAGGUCGCCACAGCCUCUGCCUAUCUCUCGAGAGCCCUGACUCCCCUAUUCCGUAGGACGAAGUAACCGAUGACAGCAGGAGUGACAGGGAGUAAAAGUUCAUGAUGUAACCAGACGGGCACUUUCUACUACUGAUGGUUUCUACGAUUUUGUGAAAGAAAAAGAGAGCAUUCACUUCCAGCUCUGUCAAAUCACUAUUACUCUGCUAACUGAACCUGCCGAUGGAUUGUGACCUAAAAGUGUAGUCCAUAGGAGGGUUCUGGAGGACGCUGGAGCAGGCGCACACCCCGCAUCCCCUUCCCAUACAUACAGUUGGGCAAGCUAAUUACUUAUGAGGAAGAAAGGGAUGUGCUGGGGCUGCCAGAGAUUCUCGGACUGUACCUCCCACCCCAGUGCACCAGCAAUGGCUUCUCAACCUUAGCACCUUUGAAAUGUGCUGGUCACCAGCCACAAUGUCCUUUCCGUGGUCCUCCCUAAUACGCUUUUGCUUGCACACGAUUCCCAGAAAACUAGAGAUUAAAGGACAGUUGUUGUAAUGUGCUUGUUUUCCACUUAACUGAUUUAGUGGCCAAAAUGCUAAUAUUUCAAAAUAAGUAAAGUUCCAUGCAAUUGUCCUGAUUUCUAAGGAACAGGUUAGUUACCUUUCUGAUUAGAGUCAUGAGAUUUAUUUGGAACAGAUUUAGUAUUUGAACCCUAGUGGCCUAAGCCUUUAUUUCUUCACUAACCCGAAAGAUCAGACUCUACCAAGAAAAGCUUGCUUAUUCACCAGUGCUGUUUCAGUGUCACAAGUUGCUCCAGGAAACAGCGGGGGUGGGGGCUGCUAACCCUGAUAUUGUUCGGUGUCACUGUAGCCGCUCUUCCGGAUGUUUACAGUAGCUGUGGGACUCGGCACUCCACGGCAGUCAGGCUCACAUAAAAUUAACCUUCACACUAUUAUUUUAACAUAUGCAUGAAAUACUCAGCCCUAGAAACAUCUGCAUUCUCU
Molecule: long non-coding RNA, 1747 nt
Organism: Chinchilla lanigera (long-tailed chinchilla)
Lineage: Eukaryota; Metazoa; Chordata; Mammalia; Rodentia; Chinchillidae
Source: Ensembl